Non-coding RNA from Mycena epipterygia, 94 nucleotides. Lineage: Eukaryota; Fungi; Basidiomycota; Agaricomycetes; Agaricales; Mycenaceae. The record is from the annotation of a GenBank genome assembly.
UCAGACAUGGUGUAGCGGUAACAUCACCUCUUUGAUUUAAGAGGAUUUCUCCGAGUUUAGGAGGUGGUCUCGGGUUCGAAUCCCGGUGUCUGAG